CGCCUACGGGAGGCAGCAGUGGGGGAUAUUGCACAAUGGGGGAAACCCUGAUGCAGCGACGCCGCGUGGGCGAAGAAGUAUUUCGGUAUGUAAAGCCCUAUCAGCAGGGAAGAAGAAAUGACGGUACCUGAGUAAGAAGCACCGGCUAACUACGUGCCAGCAGCCGCGGUAAUACGUAGGUGGCAAGCGUUGUCCGGAUUUACUGGGUGUAAAGGGCGUGCAGCCGGGCUGACAAGUCAGAUGUGAAAUCCCGCGGCUCAACCGCGGAACUGCAUUUGAAACUGUCAGCCUUGAGUACCGGAGAG
RNAcentral lists this ribosomal RNA (305 nucleotides) under uncultured bacterium. RNAcentral's name for it is "bacterial SSU rRNA". It matches the Rfam family "Bacterial small subunit ribosomal RNA", at positions 336 to 656 of the family's 1533-position model. The record is from RNAcentral.